Oncorhynchus tshawytscha (Chinook salmon) is the source of this 1163-nucleotide long non-coding RNA. RefSeq lists it as uncharacterized. The record is from RefSeq and is a predicted model, not a curated record. NCBI's taxonomy places the organism in Eukaryota, Metazoa, Chordata, Actinopteri, Salmoniformes, Salmonidae. The transcript is spliced from 3 exons.
UAAAAGCAACAUCCACGCUAGCAUUUGUUUUGUUUUCUAGCAGUGUUUGUGGAAACUGAUUGAACCUGAAUUCAAAAGCUGUUUUUGUUGUCAUUGUCUUCACAGCAAGUUCAGGAUAUUGCCAGAGGAAGAGUAAAGGCGGGAAGGCCAGCUGUGCCUCAGUGCCAAUGGUUCCCACAAGCACCCGUUUUGUUGAAGGUUCUGCAGCAGCCAAUGGGGGACUGACUAUCCGUCACCCUGUCACAGGGGCCCAGUAUGUUCAGAUACAGCUCCUGCAGGAUGACCCCGCCAGUGAAGGGGACCUAGCCUUCCAGCUGAGCUCCCAGCCUUCCAGCUGAGCUCCCAGCCUUCCAGCUGAGCUCCCAGCCUUCCAGCUGAGCUCCUAGCCUUCCAGCUGAGCUCCCAGCCUUCCAGCUCCCAUUCCCAGCUGACCGUGGACCUGCCAGUCAACAUCCUACAGGAACCUCCUGCUAUGACGGAGGAAGACAAUGGCUUGGACAACUCCCAGUUUACAGGAAGCACCAUCAACCUGCAGGACCUGGAGUGAGAGGGAGGGGGUAUGAAAAAGUUGUGUACAUCUGGGUUGGGAUGAAGUGGAAGCCAGAACCAAAUGCGCCUUGGGAAGAAUUGAAUGAUAAAUUAAAUGAACAUUUACAUUUUGGGACUUUUUUUCUUCUCACUAUUUACUGUAUUUCUGAAAUCUUGUUUGUACCACAAUCAUGAUUGCGAGAAAGACACGCUGUCUGUCUUUUUAAAGAGAGACUGUCGUUUUGCACAUCCAGUAGGUCCCUCGUGUCUCUUGUCAAACUGUGACGUCUUGUCAGUCUCAGCUACGUUGCCUUGUUCUAGACACUCAUACACUGUGCUGUUGUCAGAGCUUCUGUCUAAUAAUGCCUUACAGACAUGAUGUACUAUACUCAUCCAUUUAGCAGACGCUUUCUGUUUGUUAGACUUAUGUAGCUUUAACUUUUUGGUGGUGGGCAGGGUAAGAUAUAUUUUUCUACAGCUGUGUCAUAUGAGCUACGUAGGAAUGAGACGUAUGCGUUCCAUGUUCAAAAUGUUGCCGGUCCACUUGUUUAUAAUAUCUGUAAUGCUUAUCUAUAUGUGACAACUUCCAUCUAGUUAUUUAUUAGCCUUGUUUUACAAAAUAGCUGAAUCCAAUC